RNAcentral lists this ribosomal RNA (484 nucleotides) under uncultured bacterium. RNAcentral's name for it is "partial 16S ribosomal RNA". It matches the Rfam family "Bacterial small subunit ribosomal RNA", at positions 30 to 507 of the family's 1533-position model. The record is from RNAcentral.
AUUGAACGCUGGCGGCAGGCCUAACACAUGCAAGUCGAGCGGAUGAAGGGAGCUUGCUCCUGGAUUCAGCGGCGGACGGGUGAGUAAUGCCUAGGAAUCUGCCUGGUAGUGGGGGAUAACGUCCGGACACGGGCGCUAAUACCGCAUACGUCCUGAGGGCGUAAGUGGGGGAUCUUCGGACCUCACGCUAUCAGAUGAGCCUAGGUCGGAUUAGCUAGUUGGUGGGGUAAAGGCCUACCAAGGCGACGAUCCGUAACUGGUCUGAGAGGAUGAUCAGUCACACUGGAACUGAGACACGGUCCAGACUCCUACGGGAGGCAGCAGUGGGGAAUAUUGGACAAUGGGCGAAAGCCUGAUCCAGCCAUGCCGCGUGUGUGAAGAAGGUCUUCGGAUUGUAAAGCACUUUAAGUUGGGAGGAAGGGCAGUAAGUUAAUACCUUGCUGUUUUGACGUUACCAACAGAAUAAGCACCGGCUAACUUCGUG